Populus nigra (black poplar) is the source of this 483-nucleotide long non-coding RNA. RefSeq lists it as uncharacterized. The transcript is spliced from 2 exons. The record is from RefSeq and is a predicted model, not a curated record. Lineage: Eukaryota; Viridiplantae; Streptophyta; Magnoliopsida; Malpighiales; Salicaceae.
GUGCGCUAACGCACGCGUGCUGCUGCACUGUGCAAGUGAAUUAAAAUUCACUUGCACAGUGUAAAAGACACUUGAAAUAAUGCAGAAGAAGAAGUCUCUUACCUGGUCUGCUGGAGGCGAAGGCGCGUGGUUGCUGAUCAACCAGCCAUUUUCUUGCUUUCCCUGCCUUUGAGUUUAUUCCUCUGUUUUUUGUUUCGUUUGGUGAUACUCCCCUCUGCAGGUUCACUCCCUCUAGCCAGAGAACAAUCCGUUUCUUCCAACCAUUGAUUGCAGGUGUAAUGGCAGCGAUGGCAGCGGCGGGCAUCCGUUGAAGAAGAUGAACAGCGUAUCCACAGACGGCGCCGUUUUGAAGUUUAACGAUUAUUUGCGUUUUGGCCCUUGAAGUUGUAAAUGUUUUGUAAUUAAGCCCCUAGUUCAAACUGUAAUUGGCUCCCUGCAUUUGCGCGCAAUUUUUAAUGUAGUCCUUGGAUUUUAACUUUAUAA